ACGUAGGGGCAAGCGUUGCCCGGAUUCACUGGGCGUAAAGCGGGUGUAGGCGGUCCUCUAAGUCGGAUGUGAAAUCCUGCGGCUCAACCGCGGAACUGCAUCCGAUACUGGAGGACUUGAGGACGGUAGAGGUCGGUGGAAUCCCCGGUGUACCGGUGAAAUGGGCAGAUAUCGGGGGGAACACCAGUGGCGAAGGCGACCGACUGGGCCGAUCCUGACGCUGAGACCCGAAAGCCAGGGUAGCGAACCGG
This 251-nucleotide ribosomal RNA is filed under the name uncultured microorganism. RNAcentral describes it as "partial small subunit ribosomal RNA". It matches the Rfam family "Bacterial small subunit ribosomal RNA", at positions 525 to 776 of the family's 1533-position model. The record is from RNAcentral.